CCCCACCUAGCUCAGUCGGUAGAGUGUGAGACUACCUCAGGAUCAUGGGUUCAAGCCCCAUGUUGGGCA
Molecule: transfer RNA, 69 nt
Filed under: Tyto alba (common barn owl)
Lineage: Eukaryota; Metazoa; Chordata; Aves; Strigiformes; Tytonidae
Rfam family: tRNA
About the family: Transfer RNA (tRNA) molecules are approximately 80 nucleotides in length. Their secondary structure includes four short double-helical elements and three loops (D, anti-codon, and T loops).
Source: Rfam by way of RNAcentral